Molecule: precursor RNA, 120 nt
Filed under: Mus musculus (house mouse)
Lineage: Eukaryota; Metazoa; Chordata; Mammalia; Rodentia; Muridae
Description: precursor microRNA 133b
Rfam family: mir-133 microRNA precursor family (bases 22-94)
About the family: mir-133 was first experimentally characterised in mouse and homologues have since been discovered in several other species. The mature sequence is excised from the 3' arm of the hairpin.
Source: RNAcentral
ACCUCCAAAGGGAGUGGCCCCCUGCUCUGGCUGGUCAAACGGAACCAAGUCCGUCUUCCUGAGAGGUUUGGUCCCCUUCAACCAGCUACAGCAGGGCUGGCAAAGCUCAAUAUUUGGAGA